GAUGAACGCUGGCGGCGUGCCUAACACAUGCAAGUCGAACGAAGCGCCUUACCGGAUUCUUCGGAUGAAGGUCUGGUGACUGAGUGGCGGACGGGUGAGUAACGCGUGGGUAACCUGCCCUGUACAGGGGGAUAACAGCUGGAAACGGCUGCUAAUACCGCAUAAGCGCACGAGGAGACAUCUCCUUGUGUGAAAAACUCCGGUGGUACAGGAUGGGCCCGCGUCUGAUUAGCUGGUUGGCAGGGUAACGGCCUACCAAGGCAACGAUUAGUAGCCGGUCUGAGAGGAUGAACGGCCACAUUGGAACUGAGACACGGUCCAAACUCCUACGGGAGGCAGCAGUGGGGAAUAUUGCACAAUGGGGGAAACCCUGAUGCAGCAACGCCGCGUGAGUGAAGAAGUAUUUCGGUAUGUAAAGCUCUAUCAGCAGGGAAGAUAAUGACGGUACCUGACUAAGAAGCUCCGGCUAAAUACGUG
This 477-nucleotide ribosomal RNA is filed under the name uncultured bacterium. RNAcentral's name for it is "partial 16S ribosomal RNA". It matches the Rfam family "Bacterial small subunit ribosomal RNA", at positions 28 to 507 of the family's 1533-position model. The record is from RNAcentral.